GACGGCUGCUCCCCUGCUUUCCUCCCGCCACACGCGCUCCCUGUGGUUCUGGUAGCGAAGGGCGAGACUGGGCUCGCCAGGCGGAAGUGGUUGGAGACUGCGUGUUUUCCUAGAAAGUCCUCGACCUUCGUCGGGGAGAGGAGGGGAGUGAUAAAUUGGAAGGCGGACAAGCGACAAGUGCAGUACUGGAAAGACCCAGACAUACUUGGUUGUGACCUCAGGACUCAAUAAAAUAAACAGCUGGAAAUAAGCAGACUACUGUAAGAGUGAAUUGAAAAGAAAACCCAAGGUCACAUCUCCCAAGAAGCAGUAAUGUUCCAGCAAUAAGAAAAGGACAGUUUUUUCUCUUUUGCAUGGUGAGCCUUAUAUGAAUUACAUCAAUUUUGUCACCAAUAUCCAUCAUCAGAACAUUUUGCCUACUCACUGUGAAGACAAUGAGGAUGAAGACCUUUAUGACAAUCCACUUCCACUUAAUGAAUAAUGAGGAAACUGGGGCACAGAAAAAUUAAGUGACUUGUCCAGGAGGACAGGGCCAAUAACAGGUGGAACCAUAAGAAAAAAUCCAUUAACAGCUUUGAAAAAGAAAGAUAACAAUUACAUGUGUGUACAGCGUCCAAGGGAACCAUUAGCAAUGGAGCUCCCCAGGCUCCUGGGAGGACCAAGCACAUGGUCCAACCAACCGUCUUCUGAAAAGGUAGCGGUGGGCAGUGGAAGGCAAAAAGAAUGGCUGCACUUGUGUUUCUGAAGGUCAGACCAAGAA
Molecule: non-coding RNA, 760 nt
Filed under: Pongo abelii (Sumatran orangutan)
Lineage: Eukaryota; Metazoa; Chordata; Mammalia; Primates; Hominidae
Source: RNAcentral